This 528-nucleotide ribosomal RNA is filed under the name Penicillium chrysogenum. Its description in RNAcentral is "eukaryotic LSU rRNA". The stretch from base 214 to 366 matches the Rfam family "5.8S ribosomal RNA". Lineage: Eukaryota; Fungi; Ascomycota; Eurotiomycetes; Eurotiales; Aspergillaceae. The record is from RNAcentral.
CAAGGUUUCCGUAGGUGAACCUGCGGAAGGAUCAUUACCGAGUGAGGGCCCUCUGGGUCCAACCUCCCACCCGUGUUUAUUUUACCUUGUUGCUUCGGCGGGCCCGCCUUAACUGGCCGCCGGGGGGCUUACGCCCCCGGGCCCGCGCCCGCCGAAGACACCCUCGAACUCUGUCUGAAGAUUGUAGUCUGAGUGAAAAUAUAAAUUAUUUAAAACUUUCAACAACGGAUCUCUUGGUUCCGGCAUCGAUGAAGAACGCAGCGAAAUGCGAUACGUAAUGUGAAUUGCAAAUUCAGUGAAUCAUCGAGUCUUUGAACGCACAUUGCGCCCCCUGGUAUUCCGGGGGGCAUGCCUGUCCGAGCGUCAUUGCUGCCCUCAAGCACGGCUUGUGUGUUGGGCCCCGUCCUCCGAUCCCGGGGGACGGGCCCGAAAGGCAGCGGCGGCACCGCGUCCGGUCCUCGAGCGUAUGGGGCUUUGUCACCCGCUCUGUAGGCCCGGCCGGCGCUUGCCGAUCAACCCAAAUUUUUA